ACGGCUCAGUAACACGUGGCUAACCUGCUCUUGGGACGGGGACAACCCCGGGAAACUGGGGUUAAUCCCAGAUAGGUGAGAACUCCUGGAAUGGAUUUUCAUCGAAAAGGUGUUGAAGCAUGCUUUCAACGGCGUCCGAGGAUGGGACCGCGGCCGACCAGGUUGUUGGUGAGGUAACGGCUCACCAAGCCUUUAACCGGUACGGGCCGUGAGAGCGGGAGCCCGGAGAUGGAAUCUGAGACAAAAUUCCAGGCCCUACGGGGCGCAGCAGUCGCGAAAACUCCGCAAUACGCGAAAGCGUGACGGGGCCAACCCGAGUGCCGUCCGCUGAGGAUGGCUUUUCCCCAGUGUAAUGAGCUGGAGGCAAUAAAAGGAGGGCAAGGAUGGUGUCAGCCGCCGCGGUAAAACCAACUCCUUGAGUGGUGAGGAUUAUUAUUGGGCUUAAAGCGUUCGUAGCUGGCCUGACUAGUCCCGCGUUAAAUCCAACGACCUAAUCGUUGGGCUGCGGGGGACACGGUCAGGCUUGGGGGCGGGAGAGGUUAGCGGUAUUCCCGGGGUAGGGGUAAAAUCUUAUAAUCCCGGGAGGACCACCAGUGGCGAAGGCUGCUAACCAGAACGCGCCCGACGGUGAGGGACGAAAGCUGGGGGAGCGAACCGGAUUAGAUACCCGGGUAGUCCCAGCCGUAAACGAUGCAGGCUAGCUGUUGGGAUGGCCACGAGCCAUUUCAGUGGCGCAGGGAAGCCGUUAAGCCUGCCGCCUGGGAAGUAAGAUCGCAAGAUUGAAACUUAAAGGAAUUGGCGGGGGAG
RNAcentral lists this ribosomal RNA (807 nucleotides) under uncultured archaeon. RNAcentral's name for it is "bacterial SSU rRNA". It matches the Rfam family "Archaeal small subunit ribosomal RNA", at positions 85 to 876 of the family's 1478-position model. The record is from RNAcentral.